RNAcentral lists this ribosomal RNA (571 nucleotides) under uncultured archaeon. Its description in RNAcentral is "partial 16S ribosomal RNA". It matches the Rfam family "Archaeal small subunit ribosomal RNA", at positions 752 to 1323 of the family's 1478-position model. The record is from RNAcentral.
CAGGCUUUGGUUUUGGGGGAUCCUUNCGAAGAAUNCCCAGUGCCCCNAGNGAAAGNUNUUAAAGCCUGCCCNCUUGGGGGAGUUNCNUCCGCAAGGAUGAAACUUAAANGGAAUUGGCGGGAGAGCACAGCAACGGGAGGAGCGUGCGGUUCAAUUGGAUUCAACGCCGGAAAACUCGCCGGGAGNNNCGGUUACAUGAAGNCCAAGCCGAUGACUUUGCCUGAUUUUCCGAGAGGUGGUGCAUGGCCGUCGUCAGUUCGUACCGUAAGGCGUUCUGUUAAGUCAGAUAACGAACGAGACCCUCGCCCUUAAUUGCCAGUUUGUUCUCCGGAGCAAGCGCACGUUAAGGGGACCGCUGNCGCUAAGUCAGAGGAAGGAGAGGUCGACGGUAGGUCAGUAUGCCCCGAAUCUCCCGGGCUACACGCGUGCUACAAAGGACGGGACAAUGGGCUGCGACACCGAGAGGUGAAGCCAAUCCCGAAACCCGUUCGUAGUUCGGACUGAGGGCUGUAACUCGCNCUCACGAAGCUGGACUCCGUAGUAAUCNNGGAUUNACACUACCCGCGNGAAA